AUCAGCACUCUAGAUUUCCUGCGGGAUUUCCCGAGGAUCAAGCUUCUAGAGGAGGGUUGUGAGAACAUCACAAUAUACUACUUCACGGCUGGGAUGUUGGUAGCCAAAAGUGUGCAGGACGCCCAAUAUAUGUACGUCGUUAAAUAUGGAACAGCAUUCGUCAUCUCGGAGAAAAUACCACCACCUGAAAUGGUAGAAAGAUACAAUGAACUGAUGGAAAAGAAGAAGU
Long non-coding RNA from Physella acuta, 229 nucleotides. RefSeq lists it as uncharacterized. Lineage: Eukaryota; Metazoa; Mollusca; Gastropoda; Physidae. The record is from RefSeq and is a predicted model, not a curated record.